Long non-coding RNA from Tympanuchus pallidicinctus (lesser prairie-chicken), 4082 nucleotides. RefSeq lists it as uncharacterized. NCBI's taxonomy places the organism in Eukaryota, Metazoa, Chordata, Aves, Galliformes, Phasianidae. The transcript has 3 exons. The record is from RefSeq and is a predicted model, not a curated record.
GCGGGGCUGGGCCGGGCGGAGGGGCCCGUGCCGAUGAGCGGUGUCGGGCUGGAAGCGGUCAUCGCGCGGCCGGAUAACGUCGGACGCGGCUCCCGCAAGGUGAGAGCUUAGCACAGCAAUGAAGUUGGGAGAAAUGUAACUCGGUUCGCCUUUAAAUGCUGCAGAAGGCAAUAUGGAUAUCUGAGCUGCAGAUAAAUUCGCAAAGUAGGAAACUGCUCACUGUAAGAAAUCUUCUCUUGGCUGCUAAAUGUUUAAAAUCCUUCCUUUGAAAUGAAUACAGCAGUUCUUGUGAUGGUUCUGCAGACACUGCAUAUACCAAAUGGAUCUUGGAGACAUGCACAACGCGAGGAAAACACUGCAUCCAUCUCACAGUCUCUGGUUGCCACGGCAAAGACAGGUAUAAAUAGAAACAAUCUGAUACACUUUUUAAAAACUCUAUCAGGGAACAUGCGUUGUUGGUAACUGUCUGACAGCAACGCCUUAUCCCAAAUGGCCGCAGUGACUAUUUGCCUGGAGACUUCUGAGCCUAUGUGUUUAAUCCUUUCUGUCUAAGCAAAUAUCAGCUAUUUCUGCUUGUCCUUCCACUGGAACACAAGAACUAUCUGUGAAGGAAAGUUUUGACAGAUGUCUGUUUUGCUAAAAACUUCCUCCAAUCAAACAAAUGCUAACUAACACCAGGCAUGGUGGGGAACUUGGAAAAAAAAGCUUUCUCCUCAGCUACCACCAGCAGCGGCCAUUCAAGUGACUAGCAGUGAAGUGAUGAACAGUUUUUACGUGUUCACUGGUAGCUUCCACACACUUGGCACCAGAGAGAUAGAUGGGGCACUGAAUUGCUUUCUGUUAAACAAAAAGGGAGUCAGCCAGAGAUUAAUUCUGCUCAUCGCUGCUUGCAGUUACAGAAUAAAGCCUGAUUGAUCUGAACCACCUUUGAAACCAACAGGAUGAAUUAAAAAUGAAAACCUAAGUUUCUGCAGAAGCUAACAGGUUAUCUGCAGACAUUAUAACUUGCUGGUUCUGCAAGAAGUGUUAAAUAAGAAAAUAAUGUAUGGCAUGAGCUACUGUGUCAUUUUCUUUAUACAAACACAGUUAUGUUAAGCGACGGAAGUAAUGAAAAAAAUCAUGAAGAUGCUUAAUUUCAGAAGCGCGGGGGCUGAAAUGCAGGAAGUUUUGUUGUGAAGGAAUAGUUCCCAUCAGCACUAUUACAAUCACUCCAUAAACCUCAUAUCUUGAUCAACUGUCAGAUAUAAUCAUGGCACUUAUUACAAUCUCUUGAUACAGAAAAAUCACAUCACUUCUAGUGGAGUUACGUGACUGAUCUCUCAAAGGCCACACAGUUCUGAAAGUUGGCAUUGUUCUGAAAUCUUAAUUAACCAACAAAAAGCAAAACGAGCCAGCUCUUCUCCCCGUAAGUGACAAUGGCACUUUGGUUGCUGGAAACCUCCAGCUCUUGCUAAUGCACUUUGCAGAUCUGACCUACAGCCUCACAUUGGUGUGCCAGCAGCUGGGCACUGGGCCGUGCUGGCCCUCUGAUGGGAAGCAGACAGUGCUGUGCUGCAGGGCCAUGGGAGGCAGGGAGGUGGGUUACAGUGCAGAUGCUGCUGCCCUCCCGCAGCUCUCAUGUGCAGGGUGCCUGGCUGGGGGCUGCAAAGCACCUGGCUCGGGUGUCUGCCUGUGGGAUGCUGCUGCACUGGGAAAUGUGCUGCAAAAACACUCUUUGGUGGAGGCUGAAUGUAGAUCCAGAGGGUUAAUUUUAAGUGCUCGCAUUUCUGAUGUGUUCCGUAGGUGCAGAGUUAUGUAAUUGGAGGGAAAAUUACAGUGCAAGCCAUGUACUGUAUUAAUUUACAACUAGUUAACGACAACUAAGGGCAGUUUGAAAACAGUUCUAUAGGCAAGCAGACAGGAGCUAGAGCAUGCAGGUAGAUGCAUCAGGUUCCUUUUUUCAACAAGUAGAAACCAAGAAAAAUUUUUUUUGUUGGUUGGUUUGUUUAUUUAUUUGAGAUAGUAUUAGGCAGCUUUUCUCCACUCUUUAGAAACAAAACCCUUCAGACAAAGGAGAAGAAGCACUAGGCACCCAUAGGCAAUUUCUGGUGCCUCAGACCUCACAAGAAGGGCUCCUCAGGGCCUCCCUCCAGGCUUUUCAUGGCCCAUGUUGGAACUAAGCCUUCAGAAGUUUUUCUUAAAGCUAUGGCUGGGCUUAUACAUGCAGUUUGCUGUUUCUGAAUGAAGUCACACAUGCCAUGUUCAUGUUUGUGUUAAAAUACUGGAAAGCGUUUCCCUUUUCCUCAUAGGAAAACUGCAUACAUGACCUGGAGUACAGCUAUUUCCAAUGCUUGGCUCCUCAGGAAGAGGAGCUGUGCCAGCUCUGCCCAGCAGCACAGAGCACAGCCUCCUUGAUUUCAGCACAUCUGAGAUUCUCUUUUCAGGUGUAAGGUCUCCAUAACUCCACUGCUGCAGUCCAUUCUCUUGAGUCUCCAAUACCUGCGGAUGCUAGUUUUAUGUUUUCUUAGGACAAAAUGAAGACAAGAUCCAAAAAAAGACUCCAAGGUCAAAAAACAUUUACUGCCAUAUUUAUGCCAAAUGGCAUCACUGCAGUGAUCCAGGUGCUCGCAUGCUAAGAACCUCUGCACUGCCUGUGCUGACAUCCAGGAUUGCUGCAGAGACACUAAGGUACAGGUGGGAUCAAUUACAGCCAUGCUGGAGUCUGUGUGCUGCGAGGCACAGCUCCCAGCCCUGCUGGCACUGCUCAGCGCUCGUCAGUAGUACAGGAGGUGAUCUGAAAACUGAGAACGUUAGGGCUACUAAACCUCCCCCUGUGACCCUGUGUGUUCUGAACAACCUCACUGGUUUCUUUUUUUACUCACACCCUAGCAGAAGCACUGGAUCUAUUUCCCUAAGUACUUUUUUUGUUUCAUUUUUUUCCCUUAAAUGGCCACAGCCUUAUGUUACUGCUGAGCCUCAGAAGACAAUCAUGCCUGCAGUAUUUUCAUCCUGUCAGCUGGUGCUGGAUUUCAAAACAGGAUGCCCACUUUUCCCCCCAUUAUUCACAGCAGUGAGAUGCAGAAUCCUGAGCUUUUGUUUCCAGUUGGUUACACGGUCCAACGUGUGAUUCAUUCUUCCUGCAGCCAUGUUUCCAGGAAAAGACAAUACUGUGGCCCCUCUCCAAGUCACCCGCAGACUGCUGGAGGCUUGAGCUGGAGAGUGCUCCUGUGCCUGCAGCUGAGACACUUUCUAAGAAGAGAUGAGGGGACGAGGCCUCAGACGUGGACUGCUGUUAUCUCCCAACAAACAAGCAAGGAGGGACACAGCCUUGGGAAAGCACAUGCAGCACAGAAUCAAGGUGCAGAUAAGAGCAGAAUGUACAGGAUUUAAAAUUCUUGGCCCUGUGAAGCACAACAAGCAUCUGCAAAGAGCUAGUCUCUGUUCUUGGGAUUGAGGCUGAUUGCCAAGCCAAUGGUUUAAGGGCCUGCAGUGUCCCUCCAAACAUUUAGGGAGACUCCUGGCUGCUCGAUGCCGUUGGUGUGGACUAUAAUACCCAUGGAUAUUGGAGUUUCCCAAGAGUUGUUCAGACAGGAGCUGGUAGUGAUGGCUUCCAGCUCUGCUCUCAGGGAUAAAGCUUCUCAUGGCUCUGUGUGGUGGAGCCUGGGCCGGAGAGCUGCGUGGCCAUGCGCUCCAGCACUUGGCUUCGGCAGCAGUCACGCACAAAUGUGCAUGGAUCUGCUGGCAAGGAACUGUGGUGGGGAAGGCCUGGGCUGGGCAGUGCAAGGGCUUGUCUGCAAACAGUGCCAGUAGGCAGCAACUCACGUGUGUGGGGCAAGCAGGCCAAGUGCAGAGCAGAACCACUUCCCCAUGAGCCUGUGAGCAGGAGCACAGCUCCUGCAGUGCCCUGCCAGGUCUGGCAGCCUUCCCUUGUUGUGCCCCCCACGUGCAAUGACACAGGUAGCUGGGCUCACGGCUCAGCAGCAGCAGCGUAGGCUCCAGUGCGUGAGCCCUUUGGGCUCCCCACGUGUUCAGCAAAGAGGGAAUCUGGUGCUUUGUGUUUUCAGAAUAAACCAUGGCUCUGUUCCAUCUCCAUGUUUAGGGAA